Ornithorhynchus anatinus (platypus) is the source of this 311-nucleotide long non-coding RNA. RefSeq lists it as uncharacterized. Lineage: Eukaryota; Metazoa; Chordata; Mammalia; Monotremata; Ornithorhynchidae. The transcript has 2 exons. The record is from RefSeq and is a predicted model, not a curated record.
UUGCAUCGUCGUGGUCGGAAACGACUCGACAGCAUCAGAUAAGACCCGCUUAGUACAGUGCCUGACACAUAGCAGUGCUUAACAAAUACCAUUAAAGAAAGAAGUUUUGCGCUGAAGAUUCCAGUAACUUGAAAAUUGCAUUUUUCUUCGCAUGCCACAAAACAGUUCUUUGCCGUUCCACAAGAAUAAGUGAAUUGUUUACAGCAAGACAUUCUCCCCGAGUUUAUUCCCCUGUUGGAGACCUUAGUGACCAACAGACAAUUAGCUUGAUUUUAGCAUUAUGGAAUGUAAUAAAAAUAGUCCGAACCAGA